CAUCCUACGGGGCGCAGCAGUGGGGAAUAUUGGGCAAUGGGCGCAAGCCUGACCCAGCAACGCCGCGUGAAGGAAGAAGGCUUUCGGGUUGUAAACUUCUUUUAAGAGGGAAGAGCAGAAGACGGUACCUCUUGAAUAAGCCACGGCUAACUACGUGCCAGCAGCCGCGGUAAUACGUAGGGAGCAAGCGUUGUCCGGAUUUACUGGGUGUAAAGGGUGCGUAGGCGGCCUUGCAAGUCAGAAGUGAAAUCCAUGGGCUUAACCCGUGAACUGCUUUUGAAACUGUAGGGCUUGAGUGAAGUAGA
RNAcentral lists this ribosomal RNA (305 nucleotides) under uncultured bacterium. RNAcentral describes it as "bacterial SSU rRNA". It matches the Rfam family "Bacterial small subunit ribosomal RNA", at positions 335 to 655 of the family's 1533-position model. The record is from RNAcentral.